Molecule: transfer RNA, 774 nt
Filed under: uncultured cyanobacterium
Lineage: Bacteria; Bacillati; Cyanobacteriota
Description: partial 16S-23S ribosomal RNA intergenic spacer
Rfam family: tRNA (bases 268-340)
Source: RNAcentral
CAGGGAGACAACACAAUGAUUUUGAUGCCUGAGUGCUUUUAUUCUUAGGCCGAAAUCCUGUCACCUUAGGUCGAUCGGUACCUCAGCUUUGAAGUCAAGGAUCAGCAGCAAUGUUGAUUGCUUGAUGGAGAUUUUCAGUUCCUAAACUUUGUCUAGGUCACACCCCAAAAGGGAUGAGACUCCUGGGCCAUUAGCUCAGGUGGUUAGAGCGCACCCCUGAUAAGGGUGAGGUCCCUGGUUCAAGUCCAGGAUGGCCCAUUCGGUGUUGGGGGUUUAGCUCAGUUGGUAGAGCGCCUGCUUUGCAAGCAGGAUGUCAGGAGUUCGAGUCUCCUAACCUCCACUGACCGAACUUGAUUCCCAUCUCCAAUUUUUUGGAGUUGAGCUCGAUUGGAGUGUGAUUUAGAUGUGUCCGCUGGAUGACCCCAGCUUCCUGUCAUUCUAAAUUUUAGGUUGAUGCCUUGAAUUUGGUUGAUAAGAUGCUGGGCUCGGAUCAAAUGCUCAAGCAAUUGAUGAUUUGAUUUGAAGUUCUAGCAGAACCUUGACAACUGCAUAGGUGAGUCUGGAAAAAACAAAGCAUCUUACAGAUGCAUUGUUUUGAAUCUGAUCUUCUGAAAGGGAGAUUGGAUCUAGAACAAUGAAAAUUCUUUUGAGCAAGAGCCGAGACUCUUGAGCGUUCUUUGAUUGGUGUCGAGCCAAUCAGAGUUUGAUCUUGUUUUUAGUAAUAAAAACUUGAGAAUCUGCUUUCAACGGCGGUAAGCGUUUAUGAGGUUAAUU